GUCAGCGUGGUGUAGUGGUUUGAGUGCUGGGCUGCGACUCUGGAGAGCAGGGUUCAAAUCCCAGCUCGGCCA
Molecule: non-coding RNA, 72 nt
Organism: Phrynosoma platyrhinos (Desert horned lizard)
Lineage: Eukaryota; Metazoa; Chordata; Lepidosauria; Squamata; Phrynosomatidae
Source: the annotation of a GenBank genome assembly